GCUGGGUAGCUGAUGUCUACUUGAUAAAAAAUCCAGGGUGUUAUUCGGCUUAAUUUUUUUUUUUUACUAGGUCCAAAGUUGGGGUCGGACACCCUAUCCCACCCUUACAGAAAACUUAAUAAAAGAUGUUCUAUGGCAAACACUUUUGUCUGCACUAGGUGCAAAGGGAAGCUGGACAGCUGAGGUCUACUUGACAAAAAGGGUGUUGUUCGGCUUAGUUUAGUCAAAGUAGGUCCACAGUUGGGGUCGGACACCCUAACCCACCCUUACAGAAAAGUUUAUUAAAAAUGUUCUACGGGAAUACUUUUGUUUGCACUAGUUGCAACGUGAAGCAAAGUAGCUAAGGUCUACUUGAGAAAAAAUCCAUGGUGUUGUUCGGCUUAGUUAUGUUUUAAUUAAAGGCAACAGUAGUAUACCGCUGUUCAAACUCAUAAAUCCAUGGACAAAAAACAAAAUCGGGGUAACAAACUAAAACUGAGGGAAAGGCAUAAAUAUAAGAGGAGAACAACGACACAACACUACAAUGUAACUAAUACACACAGAAACGGACCAAGCAUCAGACAAAAUCCCACGAGAAUAACAAAUAUAACAUCAAAACCAAAUACAUGAAUUUGGGAUAGACAAGUACCGUGACACGUCUUAUCGCAAUGUCAAUUUACACUCAAAAAUAAGAGAAAACAAACGACGCAACGUUAAAUUGUAACACACACAGAAACGAACUAUAAUAUAACAAUGGCCAUAUGCCUGAAGUAGGUCCACUGUUGGGGUCUGACACCUUAACCCACUCUUACAGAAAAGUUAAUUAAAAAUGUUCUACGGCAAUACUUUUGUCUGCACUAGGUG
This 843-nucleotide long non-coding RNA is filed under the name Mytilus galloprovincialis (Mediterranean mussel). Lineage: Eukaryota; Metazoa; Mollusca; Bivalvia; Mytilida; Mytilidae. The record is from RNAcentral.